UACGUAUGGGGCAAGCGUUAUCCGGAAUUAUUGGGCGUAAAGAGUGCGUAGGUGGUUUUUUAAGCGUGGGGUUUAAGGCUACGGCUUAACCGUAAGUUCGCCCCAUGAACUGGGAAACUUGAGUGCAGGAGAGGAGAGUGGAAUUCCUAGGUGUAGCGGUGAAAUGCGUAGAUAUUAGGAGGAACACCAGUUGCGAAGGCGGCUCUCUGGACUGUAACUGACACUGAGGCACGAAAGCGUGGGGAGCAAACAGGAUUAGAUACCCUGGUAGUCCCUGAGCGGG
This 283-nucleotide ribosomal RNA is filed under the name uncultured prokaryote. RNAcentral's name for it is "partial 16S ribosomal RNA". It matches the Rfam family "Bacterial small subunit ribosomal RNA", at positions 524 to 803 of the family's 1533-position model. The record is from RNAcentral.